GAUGAACGCUGGCGGCGUGCUUAACACAUGCAAGUCGAACGGUGAAGCGCCUUCCUUGUUGGUGGGUGUGGAUGAGUGGCGGACGGGUGAGUAACACGUGAGUAACCUGCUCCCUUCUUCUGGAUAACCGCAUGACGGUGUGGCUAAUACGGGAUAUUCUGGGUCUGUCGCAUCAUGGGUCUGGGAAAGAUUUUGUUUCGCUGGGGGAUGGGCUCGCGGCCUAUCAGCUUGUUGGUGGGGUGAUGGCCUACCAAGGCGGUGACGAGUAGCCGGCCUGAGAGGGUGGGCGGUCCUAGAGGGGAGACGGGACCGCCAAGACUACGACAGGCGGCAGCAGGGAAGAAUAUUGAACAAUGGGCGCAAGCAUGAAGCAGCGACGCGGCGUGAGUGAGGGAGUCCGGCGGGUUGUGAACCGCUUUCGGGAGUGAAGAAGUCUUGCCUUAAUUGUGGGUGGGUUGACGGUAGCUGAACAGGAAGCGCCGGCUAACUACGUG
RNAcentral lists this ribosomal RNA (494 nucleotides) under uncultured bacterium. RNAcentral describes it as "partial 16S ribosomal RNA". It matches the Rfam family "Bacterial small subunit ribosomal RNA", at positions 28 to 507 of the family's 1533-position model. The record is from RNAcentral.